Pterocles gutturalis (yellow-throated sandgrouse) is the source of this 46-nucleotide regulatory RNA element. It matches the Rfam family "Histone 3' UTR stem-loop". From Rfam's summary of the family: The mRNAs of metazoan histone genes lack a poly-A tail. NCBI's taxonomy places the organism in Eukaryota, Metazoa, Chordata, Aves, Pterocliformes, Pteroclidae. The record is from Rfam.
CCAAAGGCUCUUUUCAGAGCCACCUACAGUUUCCCAGAAAAGAGUU